RNAcentral lists this ribosomal RNA (2990 nucleotides) under Salmonella enterica subsp. enterica serovar Typhimurium. RNAcentral describes it as "23S ribosomal RNA". It matches the Rfam family "Bacterial large subunit ribosomal RNA". Lineage: Bacteria; Pseudomonadati; Pseudomonadota; Gammaproteobacteria; Enterobacterales; Enterobacteriaceae. The record is from RNAcentral.
GGUUAAGCGACUAAGCGUACACGGUGGAUGCCCUGGCAGUCAGAGGCGAUGAAGGGCGUGCUAAUCUGCGAUAAGCGCCGGUAAGGUGAUAUGAACCGUUAUAACCGGCGAUACCCGAAUGGGGAAACCCAGUGUGAUUCGUCACACUAUCAUUAACUGAAUCCAUAGGUUAAUGAGGCGAACCGGGGGAACUGAAACAUCUAAGUACCCCGAGGAAAAGAAAUCAACCGAGAUUCCCCCAGUAGCGGCGAGCGAACGGGGAGGAGCCCAGAGCCUGAAUCAGCAUGUGUGUUAGUGGAAGCGUCUGGAAAGGCGCGCGAUACAGGGUGACAGCCCCGUACACAAAAGCGCAUGUGCUGUGAGCUCGAUGAGUAGGGCGGGACACGUGGUAUCCUGUCUGAAUAUGGGGGGACCAUCCUCCAAGGCUAAAUACUCCUGACUGACCGAUAGUGAACCAGUACCGUGAGGGAAAGGCGAAAAGAACCCCGGCGAGGGGAGUGAAAAAGAACCUGAAACCGUGUACGUACAAGCAGUGGGAGCACCCUUCGGGGUGUGACUGCGUACCUUUUGUAUAAUGGGUCAGCGACUUAUAUUCUGUAGCAAGGUUAACCGAAUAGGGGAGCCGGAGGGAAACCGAGUCUUAAUUGGGCGUUAAGUUGCAGGGUAUAGACCCGAAACCCGGUGAUCUAGCCAUGGGCAGGUUGAAGGUUGGGUAACACUAACUGGAGGACCGAACCGACUAAUGUUGAAAAAUUAGCGGAUGACCUGUGGCUGGGGGUGAAAGGCCAAUCAAACCGGGAGAUAGCUGGUUCUCCCCGAAAGCUAUUUAGGUAGCGCCUCGUGAAUUCAUCUCCGGGGGUAGAGCACUGUUUCGGCUAGGGGGCCAUCCCGGCUUACCAACCCGAUGCAAACUGCGAAUACCGGAGAAUGUUAUCACGGGAGACACACGGCGGGUGCUAACGUCCGUCGUGAAGAGGGAAACAACCCAGACCGCCAGCUAAGGUCCCAAAGUCAUGGUUAAGUGGGAAACGAUGUGGGAAGGCCCAGACAGCCAGGAUGUUGGCUUAGAAGCAGCCAUCAUUUAAAGAAAGCGUAAUAGCUCACUGGUCGAGUCGGCCUGCGCGGAAGAUGUAACGGGGCUAAACCAUGCACCGAAGCUGCGGCAGCGAACGUAUCACCCAAGACAACUUUACGGAGUUGACGAUUGACGGAGCGAAGCGACGUCAAAGCGUUCAUUAAAGUCGAGUUGGCUUAGGGAUACGUUCGUUGGGUAGGGGAGCGUUCUGUAAGCCUGUGAAGGUGUGUCGUGAGGCAUGCUGGAGGUAUCAGAAGUGCGAAUGCUGACAUAAGUAACGAUAAAGCGGGUGAAAAGCCCGCUCGCCGGAAGACCAAGGGUUCCUGUCCAACGUUAAUCGGGGCAGGGUGAGUCGACCCCUAAGGCGAGGCCGAAAGGCGUAGUCGAUGGGAAACGGGUUAAUAUUCCCGUACUUGGUGUUACUGCGAAGGGGGGACGGAGAAGGCUAUGUUGGCCGGGCGACGGUUGUCCCGGUUUAAGCGUGUAGGUGUGUGUUCCAGGUAAAUCCGGUUCACUUUAACACUGAGGCGUGAUGACGAGGCACUACGGUGCUGAAGCAACAAAUGCCCUGCUUCCAGGAAAAGCCUCUAAGCAUCAGGUAACAUCAAAUCGUACCCCAAACCGACACAGGUGGUCAGGUAGAGAAUACCAAGGCGCUUGAGAGAACUCGGGUGAAGGAACUAGGCAAAAUGGUGCCGUAACUUCGGGAGAAGGCACGCUGACACGUAGGUGAAGUGAUUUACUCACGGAGCUGAAGUCAGUCGAAGAUACCAGCUGGCUGCAACUGUUUAUUAAAAACACAGCACUGUGCAAACACGAAAGUGGACGUAUACGGUGUGACGCCUGCCCGGUGCCGGAAGGUUAAUUGAUGGGGUCAGCGCAAGCGAAGCUCCUGAUCGAAGCCCCGGUAAACGGCGGCCGUAACUAUAACGGUCCUAAGGUAGCGAAAUUCCUUGUCGGGUAAGUUCCGACCUGCACGAAUGGCGUAAUGAUGGCCAGGCUGUCUCCACCCGAGACUCAGUGAAAUUGAACUCGCUGUGAAGAUGCAGUGUACCCGCGGCAAGACGGAAAGACCCCGUGAACCUUUACUAUAGCUUGACACUGAACAUUGAGCCUUGAUGUGUAGGAUAGGUGGGAGGCUUUGAAGUGUGGACGCCAGUCUGCAUGGAGCCGACCUUGAAAUACCACCCUUUAAUGUUUGAUGUUCUAACGUGGACCCGUAAUCCGGGUUGCGGACAGUGUCUGGUGGGUAGUUUGACUGGGGCGGUCUCCUCCUAAAGAGUAACGGAGGAGCACGAAGGUUGGCUAAUCCUGGUCGGACAUCAGGAGGUUAGUGCAAUGGCAUAAGCCAGCUUGACUGCGAGCGUGACGGCGCGAGCAGGUGCGAAAGCAGGUCAUAGUGAUCCGGUGGUUCUGAAUGGAAAGGCCAUCGCUCAACGGAUAAAAGGUACUCCGGGGAUAACAGGCUGAUACCGCCCAAGAGUUCAUAUCGACGGCGGUGUUUGGCACCUCGAUGUCGGCUCAUCACAUCCUGGGGCUGAAGUAGGUCCCAAGGGUAUGGCUGUUCGCCAUUUAAAGUGGUACGCGAGCUGGGUUUAGAACGUCGUGAGACAGUUCGGUCCCUAUCUGCCGUGGGCGCUGGAGAACUGAGGGGGGCUGCUCCUAGUACGAGAGGACCGGAGUGGACGCAUCACUGGUGUUCGGGUUGUCAUGCCAAUGGCACUGCCCGGUAGCUAAAUGCGGAAGAGAUAAGUGCUGAAAGCAUCUAAGCACGAAACUUGCCCCGAGAUGAGUUCUCCCUGAGACUUAGAGUCUCCUGAAGGAACGUUGAAGACGACGACGUUGAUAGGCCGGGUGUGUAAGCGCAGCGAUGCGUUGAGCUAACCGGUACUAAUGAACCGUGAGGCUUAACCUU